UGAGCGUCCUUAAAGUCACAAAAAGUAAUGCUUACUUCUUGAUUCACAAGAUGCAGAAACGUCUUCCGACUUCAGGAAUCAAGUGGUUUUUACUUUCCGUGAUGAGGGACGACGGAAUAGACUAAUAAGAUCGUCAAGACCCCUCGUGGUGAUAAAAAGAAAACUGAAAAGUGUAAUCAAGUAUGAUCCUAGAACCAACAGCAAAAGUAAGUCAAAUGUCACGCUGGCAACCUGAUAUAUAUGCAACUUCCCACUAGUUGAAUCGUAAAAAGUGAAUGUUCCAUCUAGAGACUCAUGCUGUACAUUCACCUCUGCAGUAUGAUCAGCUAGUUCCUUCUCCAGCGCCUUAAUAAGCGGGUCAUUUUUUGAAAGAAAAGGUGCCACUCGA
Molecule: unclassified non-coding RNA, 388 nt
Filed under: Hevea brasiliensis (rubber tree)
Lineage: Eukaryota; Viridiplantae; Streptophyta; Magnoliopsida; Malpighiales; Euphorbiaceae
Source: RNAcentral